Molecule: long non-coding RNA, 1676 nt
Filed under: Zea mays
Lineage: Eukaryota; Viridiplantae; Streptophyta; Magnoliopsida; Poales; Poaceae
Description: long non-coding RNA (ZMAY_LNC000240)
Source: RNAcentral
AUAUAUAAAACAAAGAUGCAGACGACACUGGAUCUUUUAUUUAUGUUUUUAUUCGGUAGCGAAAUACAGUAUAUAUAUAUAUAUAUAACAUAGUGGUACACACUGCUGAUGCAUGGGAGCAGCAGGGGCGUUAUUUUAUGCAUUCAUAUUCGUUACAGGCAGGCAAGCAGCAUGCAUACUGCAUAUGCAUGCAUGCAGAUGAUCCGAUCCAUCGUUUUAGUUAUUAGUUGGGGUUCACGUAGAGCCCGAUCGCGUCCAGGCAAUCUCCAGAGCGGCCAAAGAAGCCAGCGACGUGGCCGUUGUUCAUCACCUUGACACGGAACGGGGUGCCCUCGUCCCUGCCGUACGGUCCGUAAGCGCGUUUGUUGGUGACGAAUUUGAGAGACUUGACCAGAUUGUCAAUGUUGUAGGCUGGGCCCGUGGUCCCGGAGAUCUCCGUCAAGCUCUCGUCGAACCUGCACAGAUCAAUCUGCAUAUAUAUUCCGGUUAGAGAUGGCAAUGGGUACCCGAAAUCCGAAACCCGAUGGGUUUUUACCCCAUUAGGGUACGUGUUUGGGUCAAUUUUCAUACCCAUGGGUUUGUUAAUGGGCAUAAAUGUAUACCCGACGGGUUCAUGGGUACGGAUUUGUUCCUAUAGUACCCAAACCCGUUAACCCGUGGGUUUUUUAAACCCGACCAAACUUAGUGUAUAUUGUCAUUUUAUUUUAUAAACGAACAACAAACUUUUAUCUACCUAUUUACUUCAUGUUUUUUUAUCAAAUAGUGAAUGUAUAAGUAGUUGGUGAGAGUGUUGCUUACUUGCUAUUAUAGUUAUUACUAGCGUUAUAUAUGUGGUGGAUGUAUAACUUAGUGCAAGGUAACUUGAUUAUACAACUUAUUAUUUGUAUUUAAUUCUCUCUACUAAUAUUUUUUAUACCAAAUCAUGAACUCGUUGUUCAUUACAUAAAUUUUGGACCAUGAUCUCAUUAAUCAUUAUGAUACUUAUUGAUUAUAAAAAGAAUAAGUAUAUUGGAGAUAAAACCCGCGGGUAACCCGUGGGUACCCGCUAACCCGAUGGGUACGGGUUUGGGCAAGAUUUCAAACCCGUCACGGGUACGGGUUUUUUAAUGGGUGUAAAUAUUUUUCACGGGUACGGGUUUGGGAUAACAAAACCCGGCGGGUUUGUACCCGUUGCCAUCUCUAAUUCCGGUAGUGAAGACGACAUCGUCAUGCAUACUUACAACAGCACUGUAUAAUAUUUUCGGACUGCGAUCGAGACGUAGAUGACUACUAGUUAACUCAUCACCUUGUACUCCGUGCCAGCAUGGCCGAAACCCCAUGGCCCCUCCUCGUACGGUUUGCCAUCGGCUCCGAUGUAGAUGAAGGAGAUGGAGCGGAUGCAGCUGCUGUUGUCCGCCGUGACCUUCACCUCGAUCAGCCGGUCCGGAGUAGCCCUCAGAUCCCGACGAUCGCCGGCGUAUCCACCCCACUCUCCGAUCUUCGCAGGCUUCCCCUGCAGCAUAUAUCAUGCAUAUAUAUGCAUGCGUCGUUCACCACAAUAAUGAGAAUUUAAGAAGAAGAAGAUGAUGCUGAGAAGAAAGCGCCUAGAGAUCAGCUGGGAAAAUAUCACGAACCAUGUUUGUCGUCGUGUAGUAGAAGAAACUAUGUAUGUGUGUAGAUCGAUGAGUGUUGUGGAU